RNAcentral lists this ribosomal RNA (271 nucleotides) under uncultured bacterium. Its description in RNAcentral is "partial 16S ribosomal RNA". It matches the Rfam family "Bacterial small subunit ribosomal RNA", at positions 524 to 794 of the family's 1533-position model. The record is from RNAcentral.
AACGUAGGGGGCGAGCGUUGUCCGGAAUUACUGGGCGUAAAGGGCGUGUAGGCGGCUCGUGAAGUCAGGAGUGAAAACCCGGGGCUCAACCUCGGGAGUGCUUUUGAAACCAGCGGGCUUGAGUGCAGGAGAGGAAAGUGGAAUUCCCAGUGUAGCGGUGAAAUGCGUAGAUAUUGGGAGGAACGCCAGUGGCGAAAGCGGCUUUCUGGCCUGUAACUGACGCUGAGGCGCGAAAGCGUGGGGAGCAAACAGGAUUAGAAACCCGAGUAGU